GUAUCCUCUCUCCAGCAGGGAGUGCUGGUAAAGGGUGGAGAGAGAGAUACUGGGAAGCUAGGGGGUGGAGUGAGCUCCUGUGAAGGCAUGUGACUGAAUGUGACCUGGGUGGAGGGCUGCAUCAUGAGAAGAAAUGGCUUGCUGCCAGGUUGGACCAGCUGUUGGCAGGGGGCACUCAAGAAGAAGAGCCAGCUAUGUGAUGCCCAGCCAUAAGGAGGAGCACCAGCGGGUUCCUUGUUUAUCUGAGUCCUUGGGAUCUUUAUUUGUGGCUGCUGCUAGAGAGCAAAGUCCAGUCUCUGAGAUGUGCAGAGCUCUGGGAGGUAGCCGGCCACCAUAUGCCAAGAUGUGCUUUACACAGGGCUGCCAUGUGAGCAGGAAGAUAAAUUUGCUUUGGUCUAGACUGAACAAAUGUAAGAUGGAGGAACAGCCCAUUUCAUGCUGCUGUGCAUUGCAUUAGCAAAAACAACAGUGCCCGGCCCUGAAGGAAGCGGGUAAUAUUUUAUUCGGGAAAACCUGGGGUGAGUGCGGUGACAGGUAGGCUGCCUUUUGAACAACAUUGGAUCACCCGUCUCUGUUAGACCUUAAUUUUUCAGGGCUUGUAACUUCUAAGCGUAUUGCCUUGAAUGUAUUUUCUUUGGACUGUGUCUGGUUGCAAAAGGGACGUCAUCUCAAAUGAGAGAGAACAGCAUUCCUUGGACUUUCCGCUCAGCACGUCUUUAUUGGGAAGUUCUGGCUGUCAAUGUGGCCCAGAGAGGGCUUCAUUGGUGCAGCCACUCUUUGACCCUCUCCCAGGGAGCAGGAGAAUAAGCCAUUUGUCUAGUGAAGUGUCUUCUAUUGGAUGGACUCUCUCAAGGACGACCAAAAUGAUCUAAAUCAGCAUGCCCGAUGCUCAUGGACAUCGCACGGAAAUGAGGCAGAGAACAGACUCCUUAGUUUUCAGAGCAGAUGGAGGGAGCCAAAUGUUCCCGAGUCAAUGGACAGCUGGCGUCAGGAAACAUGUAUAGUUGGCUACUCAUGAAAACCUUCAAGGUACUUUGGAGCACAUGCUUCCUUUCUCCUGACAUGUCACAUUUCUUACACUUAGGCUUUUUACUGUUGGCGGCAUUGCAGCGUACUAUAUUGGUUGGCUAAGUAUGCAGGCUUGAUGUUUAUGAAAUGACAAAUGAGGCAAUGAUUGAAGCUACGUAUACUUUUGUUUCUUGGAUAUGUGCUAAGGGAUAUCUGAGCUGUAAUGGGGCAGGUCAAGGUCUGGGAAAAAAGGCCUUAGCAUGACUGACUUUAGGAGCUCAAUCCAUUUAGCUUAUUGAAGAGGAGGUUCCGAAGCAACUUGAUCGCGGUCUGUAAGCUCAUAUGCUGGGAGAAGAUUUCUUCCAUUUUUGCUAAAUGGAAGAAGAGCCAUUUUGGUUGGAAGUUUAAAAUUAGAAACAUUUUAAAAUGGAAAUAAGACACAACUCCCUUACAGUGGAGAUAAUUAACCAUCGAAUCCGCUUUCCAAAGGGAGGCAUAAAUUCAUCAUUCUGAAUCUUUAAAUUGAGACUUGAAUGUCUUUUCUAAAAGACGUGCUUUAGUUCAACCACAAGUAAUUGGGCUGGGUAGCGUCAUGCAUCAGCGGACAAAUACGACUAGCAAGUAGUGCCCUGGAGCUUUUCCCAGGCUGGCCAGCCUAACCCAGAUGAGCAGUGUGUCUAGACCUUACCACUUAAAAGGCUCAUCUGUCCCAUGUUUGGUCCUACAACAAAAUAGAGCCUCACGGUACAUCAGAGUGACUAAUAUAUCAAUUAGAGCUGGUUGGAAAAUGGGCUUUUUUUCCCCCCCCAUAGAAGAUUUUGACUUUUUUUUUCAAAGUUGAAAACUUAACUCUUUUUUUGGCUGAAGAACUAAGUACAUAUAUUGAUUAGAAAAUACUGUGACAGUGCCUCCCCAGAGUAGUUGAUCAUGUGUCUCAUGCUUCCGUUUUCCUCUGUAGGCUGGCUCUAGAUUUGGAUUACAUCUCUUAUAAUGCCCUCUUGUCUUCCCUGACAUUUAGGGGAGGUGGUUGCAUCAUGGGAGUGCCUGGCUACAGUGCAUCAUGAAAGAUGUAGUUCCCCUGGGGAGCCUGGCCCAUUUAAAGAGAAUGGGGACAUGAGGAAACAUUACUACAAGUCCUGUGAGGCACCAUGGCAGACUAUCCAAAUCAAAAUAUUACUGCUUUUUGGCUGAAAUAUUUCAGUGUUGGGUUAUUUAGGGUUUUUAAAUGGAAAAAUCAAAGUAUUCUAUGGAAAGCCAGCACUUCUACAUAAACAUAAUAAAAAAAUGUUCAUAUUUUUUUUCCUGUGGAAAAUUGGUUUUCCCUCUAAUGUUUUUAGAGUUCCAACCACCAUAGGGCUUAUGGGCUGGAGCUCCAUUCAAGAUAUUUGACCAGGACAUUGGAACAUCAAAAAGAGAGACUUCCCUCAGAAUACACCCCAUGUUUUACAGUGCACACAGCUCAGGCCAUCACAAGACUUUGGGAAUUUAGUCAGUGCGGUGUGGAUACCUGCUUUAUACAGACAAAAGCAAUAAAUCCAGCAGUUAUGUACCUCACUGUUGCCUCAAUCCAAAACUCCUCAUCGGUGGGGACAUAACCCUCAACCCUUUGCUAUUGUGUCAGAGCCCUACAAAACUGCACAGCCGUUUGUCCUUCAAGCAGGGAUCUGCAACUGUUUCAAUACAAGAGCAUUUUAUGGCGUGUAGUAUUUUUCUCCUGAAAGGCUUUGCAGAGUUAAUGCAAGGUAGGCUAUAGCAUAAAUCACCAACAAACAGCUAAAGGAAGGCUGCUGUUUUUCCCCUCUUUCUCUGAGACAUUGCUCUCAGUUCAUCAGUUUUAUAGCCGUGCCUUGGAAUAGCUGAAUACCUGACUCUCCUUAAAAGUUUUGGAUGCUCCAUUAAAUCAGGGCAGCUGCUGAGUGAGUCUGUCUGUACCCUUUCUUGGCUGCGAGUCAACAUAAGGGAUUUGGCUAGUGUCAUUUCAUCUGAAGGGCUGUCUUGUUGUUCUGUUAUACUGGACAACUUCUGGAAGCAGUUUUCCUGGGCUAUCAAAAAAUU
Molecule: long non-coding RNA, 3063 nt
Organism: Mauremys reevesii (Reeves's turtle)
Lineage: Eukaryota; Metazoa; Chordata; Testudines; Geoemydidae
Exons: 3
Source: RefSeq, a predicted model, not a curated record